RNAcentral lists this long non-coding RNA (1928 nucleotides) under Homo sapiens (human). RNAcentral's name for it is "long independently transcribed non-coding RNA 1901 (LINC01901)". Lineage: Eukaryota; Metazoa; Chordata; Mammalia; Primates; Hominidae. The record is from RNAcentral.
AGUUCCAGCUUCCUGGCUGCUUUGUUUACCUAAUCAAGCCUGGGCAAUGGCGGGCGCCCCUCCCCCAGCCUUGCUGCCGCCUUGCAGUUUGAUCUCAGACUGCUGUGCUAGCAAUCAGCGAGACUCCGUGGGUGUAGGACCCUCUGAGCCAGGUGUGGGAUAUAAUCUCGUGGUGCGCCGUUUUUUAAGCCCGUCGGAAAAGCGCAGUAUUCAGGUAUCACCAGCUGUUUAUUUCUUCAGACAUAAAGUUCCAUUGAGGUGAAGCAAUGAUGCAAGGCUUUUGGCAACCGUUCCCCAGCUCCCAGCCACACAUCGCUCCACUUACCUUGAGUGACAGCCUCCAAAGAAAAGUUUCCACCGCGCCAGAGUCUUGACCCUGAGUGGCAUCGGCAGGGUCUCCUGCGGCAGACCAGGGGUGUUGCGGGCUGCGCUGGGUGGGGGACCGCGCGCUGCACGUGCAGUGCCGCCCGGACGGCGGCGAAAGGACAGCGGUGCACCCCGCCCGAGGCCCCAGCGAUCCAUCAGGGCGGCUGUACGCGGGAAGACGCUUCAUCUCAUCCCUAGAUGGCAGCAGGAUUCUGAAGCUGGCGCAGCCCUGGGCAGCCCUUUCUGGUCUAUUUUCCUGAACAGAUUGCCAGGGGAUACGGCGGCUAAACAGCCAGGCGCCUCCCCGGAGCGCAGCUCAGACAGAAGAGCAAGCCGGACAGACGCCGCUGGCGAGGCUUCGGGGGUCAGAUCCUGCAGCUUGGACACCACAUUCUCUCUUUUUGCACACAGAUGUGCUACUGUGUAAAAAUAAGCAAACAAACAAAAACGGGAGUUCAGCUUCUUGGAGAAUGUGUCAUGGUCAAGACCAGUGAUUCUGGACGGUGACAAAAGUCCUGGAGGCCUGAGUGCACAGAGGACACACGCACAGAUGCACAUGAACUCAUGGAGAAACACUGGUCUUCUCUGCCAGGGACCAGGCUGGCCAUGCAGGAAGGGAGCAGGAUGUGAAGAUUCAGACUUUAGCUCCAGCUUCACUACCGUCCUGCCGUGCACUUUGGGGGAAGAUUCGUUCUGUUCCUGAGCCUUAGUUAUUUUAUCUGUAAAAUUGGGGUUAUUAUAGCUUUCAGCUCUGUGUACAUACAAAAGACUGUUAGGAUUAUCAAGAGGAACAAAGAAGGGGGAAAAAUCACUUUGGCAGGAACAGGCUCACUGCUGCAGCUUUUGGCCCAGAGCAGGCAUUUUUCUUCAGAGGAAGCUUCCAAAUGGUGCUACAGUAUUUAUUUUGAUCAGCCAGAUAUGACUUAUUUGAAAACAAAGGGCAGAGGUUGUUUCGCACCUUAAAAGCUGAGGGCUUUUGUCUCCAAACCACUUAUUUUGUCCACACCCAGUCCCUCAUCAUGGACUUUGUCAUCCCUUGGAAAUCCUUUACAUCAGAAAUCUUUAUCACCAGAAACUACACACAGUAGCCCAAUAGCUGCAUCCCCGAGGGCCCCAGGAUGAAAUAGGAAAAGCUGAAACUACUCUGGUUGGAGUAUAUGCUAUAUUGGAAAAAGUUACUGUUAACAUGGUAUAUAACAUACUGAGUGAGUCAGAAAAUUUUCUCACCAAGUCUGAGUCAGAGGAAAAAAAAUCAAAGAUUUAAAAAAAUUCCUCAUAUUACGUUCAGUACAUUUUGCUUGUUUUCUUUGAGUUCUGUUCUCUUCUAGCACCAUGGCAACCUUCGUCACACAAGGAGCAGGAGGACAAAGGUGACAGAUGUUUACCUCUUUAUUUUGUCUAGGGUCUUGUUUCCUUCACUCUCACCUGAUUCAAACUUUCAGCAAAUGUACAAGGGCCAGAAACACUUCCUCCUGACCCUGACCCCAGCAAUUUUGUAAUAUGUGUAAAACCUUAAGUAACUUUGAUUAUUUACACCAAAUAAAGUAGAGCUUCACAGUCUA